RNAcentral lists this ribosomal RNA (420 nucleotides) under Fusobacteriota bacterium. RNAcentral describes it as "Fusobacteria bacterium partial 16S ribosomal RNA". It matches the Rfam family "Bacterial small subunit ribosomal RNA", at positions 355 to 776 of the family's 1533-position model. Lineage: Bacteria; Fusobacteriati; Fusobacteriota. The record is from RNAcentral.
UGGGGGAUAUUGCACAAUGGGCGAAAGCCUGAUGCAGCGACGCCGCGUGGGGGAUGAAGGCCUUCGGGUUGUAAACUUCUUUUGCUCUGAACAAGGCAUGCCUUUGGGGUGUGUUGAGUGUAGGGGUUGAUUAGCGCCGGCUAACUACGUGCCAGCAGCCGCGGUAAUACGUAGGGCGCGAGCGUUGUCCGGAAUUAUUGGGCGUAAAGGGCUUGUAGGUGGCUGGUUGCGUCUGUCGUGAAAGCUCAUGGCUUAACUGUGGGUUUGCGGUGGGUACGGGCUGGCUUGAGUGCAGUAGGGGAGGCUGGAAUUCCUGGUGUAGCGGUGGGAUGCGCAGAUAUCAGGAGGAAUACCGGUUGCGAAGGCGGGUCUCUGGGCUGUUACUGACGCUGAGGAGCGAAAGCGUGGGGAGCGAACAGG